GGAGGAGUCACUGAACAAGGGCAGGUCCAACCCGCCCCUACCUCCUUGCCCAAUCUUCCCUUGGUUCUUGUUGAUCUUGUGCCAGUUUAGGGGCUGAAACCUGGGGGUCUAGAGUGAUGAGAGCUUGCAGCCUUCUCUGGGGGUUCAGCUCCUUCCCAGGCAUUCUUAGGUUGGAAUGACCCUGAAGAUUGAUGAGGAACAUUGAUUUGAGGCAGGAUUUGGAUUUUAUGUUAAAAUGAGUGAGUUAUAAAGUAAAUGCCAAGGAGGAUGGCAAGCCACAUAAAGAAGAGAAACAUCAAGCCAGGAAUGGCAAAAUGGAGAAUACAGCCAAUGUUUUCAGGCAAUCGGAAUGAAAGAAGACUCGCAAUUAUCAGGGGAGGUGCCCUUACCCAAGGAGAGCAGGUUCCAGGCGUUCU
This is a long non-coding RNA of Sarcophilus harrisii (Tasmanian devil), 416 nucleotides long. RefSeq lists it as uncharacterized. Lineage: Eukaryota; Metazoa; Chordata; Mammalia; Dasyuromorphia; Dasyuridae. The record is from RefSeq and is a predicted model, not a curated record. The transcript has 3 exons.